GACGAACGCUGGCGGCGUGCUUAACACAUGCAAGUCGAACGGAAAGGCCCUGCUUUUGUGGGGUGCUCGAGUGGCGAACGGGUGAGUAACACGUGAGUAACCUGCCCUUGACUUUGGGAUAACUUCAGGAAACUGGGGCUAAUACCGGAUAGGAGCUCCUGCUGCAUGGUGGGGGUUGGAAAGUUUCGGCGGUUGGGGAUGGACUCGCGGCUUAUCAGCUUGUUGGUUGGGUAGUGGCUUACCAAGGCUUUGACGGGUAGCCGGCCUGAGAGGGUGACCGGACAAAUUGGGCCUGAGAUACGGCCCAGACUACUACGGGAGGCAGGAGUGGGGAAUAUAGCACAAUGGGAGGAAGCCUGAUGCAGCAACGCCGCGCGCGGGAUGACGGCAUUCGGGUUGUAAACCGAUUUCGCCUGUGACGAAGCGUGAGUGACGGUAAUGGGUAAAGAAGCACCGGCUAACUACGUG
RNAcentral lists this ribosomal RNA (468 nucleotides) under uncultured bacterium. RNAcentral's name for it is "partial 16S ribosomal RNA". It matches the Rfam family "Bacterial small subunit ribosomal RNA", at positions 28 to 507 of the family's 1533-position model. The record is from RNAcentral.